GAGACUAAAAAGUCCUGGUUCCAAACCAGGGUGUAUGAGUGGGACCCCUGCUUUCAGUUCCCAAGCAGAAUGAUUGGAACCACUGUGUUGGCUUUCAUAUGCCUGUACCUUGUAAGUAGAUCCAAGCAAACCCUUUCCUAUUUUAUAAGUGGGAUGGGGUUAGGGCAGGGCUUAUUCUUUAAAAGCUGGGUCAAGGGGCGCCUGGGUGGCGCAGUCGGUUAGGCGUCCGACUUCAGCCAGGUCACGAUCUCGCGCUCUGUGAGUUCGAGCCCCGCAUCAGGCUCUGGGCUGAUGGCUCAGAGCCUGGAGCCUGUUUCCGAUUCUGUGUCUCCCUCUCUCUCUGCCCCUCCCCCGUUCAUGCUCUGUCUCUCUCUGUCCCAAAAAUAAAUAAAUGUUGAAAAAAAAAUUCUUUAAAAAAUAAAAAAAAAUAAAAAAAAAAAAGCUGGGUCAAAAUUGAGUCUGUAAAUAAAAGAAGUACAUUUUUUUGACCACCAUUUUUACUCCAAGGACACUUUUACCCACAUGGUGAAUAACUAAUAAAUAUAAUUGAAUUAUUUAUGGAGACUUCCGGUUGUCAGUUCCAUGUAAAGAGCUUGCAAGAUGCCAGUCCAUCCUAACAAGUAAAAAUCUGAACAAACUGAAACUCAACAGUUCUUAGAUCCAUAAGAGAAGUCAUGGCACAAACCAUUGUCCCUGAAAUUGGAGACAGGUGGAUCUAAAGAAUUACAAUGGAAUGGAGCAAAUCAAAUCCAGCAAUGUAUAAAAAGAAUUAUACACCACAACUGAGUUGGAUUUAUCUCAGGUAUGCAAACCUGGUACAAUAUUAAAAAAGCAAUUAACGUAAUCAACCACAUCAACAGCCGAAAGAAGAAAAAUCCCAUGAUCGUAUCAAGAGAUGCAGGAAAAACAUUUAACAAAAUUCAACACCAGUUCAUGAUAAUUUUUUUCAAUAACCUAGGCAUACAGGGGAACUUUCUCAAUCUGAUAAAAAAUAUGAACAAAAAAAUCUACAGCUAGCAUCAUACUUUAUGGUGAGAAAUUAGAAACUUUCCUACUAAAUUCAGGAAAAAGGCAAGACUGUUUCCCCUCAUCACUCAGCAUUUACUUAGGAAAUCCUAGCUAGGUAAUAAGACAAGAAAAGCAAAUAAAAGGUAUACUGAUAGGGAAAGAAGAAGUAAAAAUGUCUUUGUUCACAGAUGACAUGAUUGCGUAUGUAGAAAAUCCAAAAGAAUCAGCAGAAAACUCCUGAAGGGGCAUCUGGCUGGUUCAGUUGAUAGCGUGUGUGACUCUUAAUCUCAAAGUUUUAAGUUCGAGCCCCAUGUUGGGUGCAGAGAUUACUUAAAAAUAAAAUCUUGAAAAUAACCCAACUCCUGGAACUAAUAAGCAGUUAUAGCAAGGUUGCAAGGUACAAGGUUAACCUACAAAAGUCAAUUGCUUUUCUAUGUAUCAGCAUUGAACAAGAGGAAUUUGAAAUUAAAGAAACUAUCAUUUACAAUAGCAACCCCCCAAAAGGAAUACUUAAAUGUAAAUCUAAUAAAAUAUGCACAAAGAUCUAUAUGAGGAAAACUACAAACCUGUGUUAAAAGAAAUCAAAGAAGAACUAAAUACGUGGAGAGAUAUUCCAUAUGUGUGGAUGGAAAGAUUCAGUAUUGUCAAGAUAUCAGUACUUCCCAACUUGAUCUACAUAUAUUGGGAUUGAUCUAUAUUGGAAUUCAGUGCAUCUCAAUCAAAACUAGGGGGUUAUUUUGUGGAUACUGACAAACUGGUUCUAGAGUUUAUAGGGAGAGCGAAAGACUCAUAAUAGCCAACAAUAUAUUAAAGGAAAAGAAGAAAGUUGGAGGACUGACACUACUCGAUUUCAACUUACUACAAAGCUACCCUAAUCAUGAUGGUGUGAUGUUGCCAAUAUAGACAAGUGAAUCAAUGGACAGGAUAGAGAGCUAAGAAAUAGACCAACAUAAAUAGAGUCAGCUUAUCUUUGACAGAGGGGCAAAGGCAAUACAAUGGAGCAAAUAUUUUCUUUUUAACAAAUGGUGCUGGAACAACUGGACAUCCACAUGCAAAAAAAAAUGAGUCUAGACACAGACCUUCCUAAAUAUUAACUUAAAAUGAAUCACAGACCUAAAUGUCAAAUGCAAAACUAUGAAAUUCCUAGAAGGUGAAAUCAGAGAAAAUUUAGAUUAACUUGGGUUUGGUGAUGACUUUUUAUUUUUUUAAUUAAAUUAGUUAUUGUUAUUAUUUGGCAUUACCAAUUAUUUGAGACUGGUAGUGAAUUUAUGCAUGAAUGUAUGUUUGUAUGUAGGUAUGUAUAUAUAUUUUAAUUUCAGUGUGGGCAACAUAGUGUUAUAUUAUUUCAAGUAUACAGUAUAGUGAUUGAACAAUUCUAUACAUUACUCAGUGCUCAUCAUGAAAAGUGUACUCUUAAUCUCCUUCAUCUGUUUCACCCAUCCCCCUACCCACUUCCCCUCUGAUAACCACUAGUUGGUUUUCUAUAGUUAAGUGGUGAAAAUUUUUUUAGAUAUGAUACCAAAGACACGAACCAUGAAGGAAAGAUUGAUAAGCUGGACUUCAUUAAAAUUAAGACGUUUUAAUCUGCAAAAGACUCUGUCAAGAGAGUGAAAAGACAAGGAGAAAAUAUUUGCAAAAGACACAUCUGAAACAGACUGUUACUCAAAGUAUACAAAGAACUCUUAAAAUUCAACAAUGAGAAAACAAAUAAUCCGAUUUAAAAAUGAACCGAAGACCUUAAUAGGCAUCUCACAGAGAAGAUAUACAAAUGGCAAAUAAGCAAAUGAAAACAAGUGCACAUUAAAACAACGAUCAAAACAACUACUGUACGUUAAAAUACUAGAAUGGCCAAAAUUCAGAAUGCUGACAAUACCAAAUGCUGACAAGGGUGUGAACUGGCAGGAACUCUCAUUCAUUGCUGGUGGGAAUACAAAUGAUACUCUUACCAUAUGAUCCAGCAGUCACUCUGCUUGGUAUUUACCCACAUGCACUGAAAACUUAUGUGCACACAAAAACGUGCACAUGGAUGUUUAUAGCAGCUUUACACAUAAUUGCCAAAAUAUAGAAGUGACCAAGAGCCCUUCAGUAGGUGAAUGGAUAAAUAAUCUUUAGUACAUCCAGACAAUGGGCUACAAUUCAGCACUAAAAUGAAAUGAACUACCAAGCCAUGAAAAGACCUGGAAGAAACUUAGAUACAUAUUAAUAAGUGAAAGAUUCCUAUUUGAAAAGAUCACAUGUUCUAUGAUUCCAACUGUGUGACAUUUUGAAAGGCAAAAUUAUGCAGACAAUAAAAGAUCAGUGGUUGCCAAGGAUUGGGGAGACAGAGGGAUGAAUAGGCAGAACACAGAGGAUUUUAGAACAGUGAAAAGACUUUGUAUGAUACUAUAUGGUAGAUACAUGUCAUUAGACAUUUGUCCAAACCCACAGAAUGUGCAACACCAAGAGCGAACCCUAAUGUAAACUAUGGACUUUGGGUGAUCAUCAUGUUUUUUUGUAUAGGUGUGUUAUUUAAGUUUGCUUUCUCAACAAAAAAAUUUUUAAUGUUGCCAUAAUUCUGACUUUCAUAUUUUAUUAAGCACAGAGCCAAAACAUUUCACGUGGUCAAAGUUAUCUGAGGUAAAACGUCUGAGUCAAAAGGAGAGUCAAAAUGGAGAGAUAGAAGUGGAAGACCAUAUUGUCUUCUGGAUGAUACCUAUAUAAAUUAAUCCUGUGAUUAAGUUAAAAAAAGUUUUUAAUGUUUGUUUAUUUUUGAGAGAGAGAGACAGAGCAUGAACAGGGGAGGGGCAGAGAGAGAAGGAGACACAGAAUCCGAAGCAGGCUCCAGGUUCUGAGCUGUCAGCACAGGGCCUGAUGUGGAGCUUGAACCCACAAACCUUAAGAUCAUGACCUGAGCCGAAGUCAGACACUUAACUGACUGAGCCACCCAGGCACCCCUCCUGUGAUUAAGUUUUAAAUGAAUGUAUGAGUUAGGUAAUGCUGGAGUACCACAUAACCCCCUAAAUUUUAGUAACUUAACACUAUAAAUACGUUUGCCUAUGUAACAAUGUUGAGUAGGUGUUCAGGUUUGGGGGGCAACAGUCCUCCGUGUGUUAUUCUGUAACUGAGAUUCUUCCAUCAUGUGCUUCAUUAUCCCGAGAACCUUCACCCUCUGUAUCCAGUCAACAGAAGGGGAAGGUGCAUGGAGAAAUGCAUGUGGGAGGUUUUCAAAGUGCCCUUGUAGAAUAGCACACAUUCCUUCCACUCAUCUUCCAUGGGCAAGAACCUCGUCACAUGGCCACAUCCCUCAAGGGAGGCUGGGAAAUGUAGUCCAGUUUUGUGCCCAAAGAAGGGGAGAAUGGAUUUUAACUGACAAGUGGAGUUCUCUGCAACGUGAGUAAUUGACUUGGAAUCAUUGUGUUCCUUUAGUCUUUAGUGGUUAUCUACUGUAUGCCAAGCACCAUGCUAAGACCUGGAAGAGAGAAGAGAGCUGAUUCAGCAGAGUCUUGGCCUGGGAGAGACCCAUGGUCUAAGAGAAGGGGAUAUGACAUGGUAUGAAGUAUGUGCCAUGUAAAGAGAGACAAAGAUGAGGUGAAAGUGCUCUGAAAGUUUAGGGCAUUAUUCGAGAUUGAGAAGCUGCCUGAAGAUGGUGGCAUUUGAGCUGCACAAAGACAAACAAAAUUUGGUUAAUGAAGUAAAAUGGCAGUAGGAACUGUUGAAGCUUUGGCAUGGUGGUAGAUGGUAUAAAGGCAUGAUGACAGGAUUAUGGGAGUGAGAAAGUGUGGCGUGUAUACAGCAAACAGUACUUUCUCCAACGUGGUUACCACCAAGAUGCAAGAAGAAGAGUGGGGAGAGAUAUGGCUGGAAUUGUCGCCAAGGUCACUUCUUAUUCAGAGUUAGACAUUCAUUUCACUUUGAGGUAAUUAAUGUUUGAGGACUGACUUGAGCCGUUGUAGGACUUAGUCUUAUAUGCUGUGGGGUGCAGAAAAGAGUUUGGGGUGGCUCCAAAGAUGUCUUCGGAGAAGUCACAAUCCAACUCAUCUUGGUAUAGCCAGUGGUCAGAAUCUAUUUCAUAUGCGUUUUGAACUUCAAAGAGUUUGACCUCAAAACCAAAGAGAGGUCCAUAUGUUAUUUACAUAGUAGGCUGGACUCAGGUGAGACUUUGAAAUGUUUGCUCUUUGCACCAGUUCAUUGUCAUUGAGUUCUGCAUGUUCAUCUAUGUGAGAGACGAGCUGGAUGUGUUUGAAGGGGAGCUGGAGAACUACAUCGCCUCCAUGAACCAGACGGGGACCCUGACCCCUGUCAUCCUGCAGGUGAAAGAGCUGAUGAACGUCAGCAAAGGUAAAACCAUCCUGCUCCCUUUGUUGGGAAAGUGUGGGAAACAGAGAAAAAGACUUACAACUGGUGGCAGGUGCACACCUGGAAUAAUGAUCGCUGUAGUAUUGCUACUACCUGCAUGAGGUGACUGGUUUGGGAGGAAAAGUGGGUUACAACGGAUCUAUGCCUCCUUGGAUGACUAGAAGGCCAGUGGGGUCAGGACCCAGGCCACUUUGUUAAAAACUCUUUGGGGCUGAGUUGAACAUCCCUGAGAAUUUUCUCAUUUUAAAUAGCCUAUUUUGUUCUGGUGCCAGUGGGAACAACUAAAAUCAUCAUAUAUUUUUCACUUUGGAAAAAAGAAAACAGCAAGCCUUGGCUUUUCUUUAGGAUUAUAUGAAAAAUGUAUUUAUGUUGUUCAGAUUUAAUUUCUGCUUAGUUCAGGCUGCUAUACCAAAUUACUGUAGACUGGGUAGCAGAAACAACACACACUUGUUCCCCCGUUGGGGGGUCUGGGAAGUUCAAGGUGCUAGAAGAUCUGGUGUCUCAUGAAGCCUUGCUUCCUGAUUUCCAGAUGGCUGUCUCUUUGCAUCCUCAGAUGCUGGAGAGCAGGGAGAGGAAGCAGGCCCUCUCCUGUCUCUUAUAAGGGCACUAAUCCCAAAAGCCACAUCUCUAAACACCAUCAUACUGAGGGUUAGGGCUUCAACAUGUGAAUCUGCCCAUAGCAGCCACUUUACCUUAAAAAAGCAGCUUUCUUUGAAAACAUUCUAAUUCUGCGCCCAUUGCCCACAGAGGGAGGAGAGUUCUUCCCUCUUGCCUGCUGAGAAAGGCCCUGGAUAAGAAGUCAGGUAAACUCUGUGUCAUCAGACAAGUUGGGUCCUCUCUCUUGCAGCUUGGUUUCCUCAUCUUUAAAAUGGGGCUUGGAGGGGCGCCUGGGUGGCUCAGUUGGUUGAGCGUCCAACUUCAGCUCAGGUCAUGAUCUCACAGUCUGUGAGUUCAAGCCCCGUGUCGGGCCCUGUGCUGACAGCUCGGAUCCUGGAGCCUGCUUCAGAUUCUGUGUCUCCCACUCUCUCUGCCCCUCCCCCACUUAUGCUCUGCCUCUCUCACUUUCAAAAAAAAUGAAUAAAUGUUAAAAAAAAAUUUUAAUGGGGCUUGGAUAGGGGUGCUAAGGUUUCCAGAAGCCUUUGUGGCACUGACUUUUAGUGGCCAUAAAAUACAAAGUGCUCCUUAAGCCAUGAAAUAGGUGUUGCCAAUGAUAUGUUUACUUAAGACUCAUAAACUAGUAGAAAUAGAUCUAGUGUGGAUUAUUUGAAGAAAAUUCCCUUUCAUACAUGUGACAUGGGAAGUUACCUUUUUUUUUUAAUUCAAGUUGGUUAACAUACAGUCUAGUCUUGGCUUCAGGAGUAGAACCCGGUGUUUCAUCUCUUACAUAUGACACUCAGUGCUCCUCCCAAAAAGUACCCUUCUUAAUGCCCAUUACCUAUUUAAUCCAUCCGCCCACCUACCAACCCUCCAGCAACCCUCAGUUUGUUCUAUUUAAAAGUCUCUUAUGGUUUGCCUUCCUCUCUGUUUUUAUCUUAUUUUUCCUUCCCUUCCCCUAUGUUCAUCUGUUGUGUUUCUUAAAUACCACAUAUGAGUGAAAUCAUAUCUGUUUUUCUCUGACUUAUUUCGCUUAGCAUAAUACCCUUUAGUUCCAUGCACAUUGUUGCAAAUGGCAAGAUUUCAUUCUUUUUUAUUGCUGAGUAGUAUUCCAUUGUAUGUAUAUGCGUAUGUGUGUGUGUAUAUAUAUAUAUGUAUAUAUGUGUGUAUAUAUAUGUGUGUGUGUGUAUACACACACACACACAUGUAUAUAUAUAUAUAUAUAUAUAUAUAUAUAUAUAUACACACACACUACAUCUUCUUAAUCCAUUCAUCAGUCUAUGGACACUUGGGUUCUUUCCAUAAUUUGGCUAUUAUUGGUAGUACCACUAUAAACAUUGGGGUUCAUAUGCCCCUUCAAAUCUGCACUUUUGUAUCCUUUGGAUAUAUACUGAGUAGUGUAAUUGCUGUGUCAUAGGGUAGUUGGAAAGUUACCUUUUAUGUGAACACUGGGGCAGAUACUGCUUCUUCCCUAUCACCACAUUUUAUUGUUGCCCUUAAACAUCUGUAUUCACCUUUAAUGUUGAUUUAUGCUCCGCCUUAUGAGUCCCUGAGUACAGCACUCAGCAAACAUACUCUAAUCUUUAAAUUCAGCAAUACUAAUUUUAAGUCAUACUUUUUUAAGUUUACAUUUCCACCCCUCUUCUGGGCAAGUUUUUAUUUUUUUUUUAUUUUUUAAAAGAUUUUAUUUUUAAGUCAUCUCUACACCCAGUGUGAAGCUUGAACUCACGACCCCGAGAUGAGGAGUCUCACGCUCCGCUGACUGAGCCAUCCAGGCACCCCUGAGCAAGUUUCUAAUGCCAACUUCAGUUACUUGCUCUGGGUGAACUGUAGUAACUGUAUCAUCUUAUUCAUUCAUGGUUUACCUGCUCUUUCAUGGAUUUGCUCACAUGUUUAGAUACUUUGAGAAUCAAAAUAUAAAAAUCACUCUGUCUUGAUUUUUUCCAGCUUUAAAACAGCUGCCCUCUGGCCAGGAGAGACUUCAAGCUGAACAUGCUUCAUCUUUGGGAAGAUAAAGGCAUUAAAUUAAAGGUGUGCAGUCAUGUUCUUGCUGCUGGCUGGAGGGAGUCUGCACUCACUCUCCUUGUGGCCAGACUCCUCUAAUCCUUUCCUUCAAGGAUCUCUGCACCCCCCCAGGGGUGACACUUGGUGGUUUACCAGCUUCCUUUUUAUUGAUUGAGGUUUGGGAUAUAGCUGUUGCCUAAUCCUAGUGAUUUCUGGGAUGGAGACAUAUUUGAAACUUGAAAGGAAUGAAAAUCAGUUUCUUUUCCUUCUUUUUAAGAGAACUUUUUGAAGAUUCAGUUAACACACCAUACAAUUCAUCCAUUUAAAAUACAAUUCAGCGGGGCGCCUGGGUGGCGCAGUCGGUUAAGCGUCCGACUUCAGCCAGGUCACGAUCUCGCGGUCCGUGAGUUCGAGCCCCGCGUCGGGCUCUGGGCGGAUGGCUCAGAGCCUGGAGCCUGUUUCCGAUUCUGUGUCUCCCUCUCUCUCUGCCCCUCCCCUGUUCAUGCUCUGUUUCUCUCUGUCCCAAAAAUAAAUAAACUUUGAAAAAAAUUUUUUUAAAAAAAUAAAAAAAAAAAUACAAUUCAGGGAAACCUAAGUGACUCAGUCGGUUAAGUGUCCGACUUCAGCUCAGGUCAUGGUCUCACAGUUCUCAAGUUCGAGCACUGUGUCAGGCUCUGUGCUGACAGCUCAGAGCCCGGAGCCUGCUUCAGAUUCUGUGUCUCCCUCUCUCUCUGCCCCUCCCCUGCUCAUGCUCUGUCUGUCUGUCUGUCUGCCUCUCUCUCAAAAAUAAAAUAAACAUUAAAAAAAAUUUUUAAGGCACCUGGAUGGCUCAGUCAGUUAAGCAUCUGACUUUGGCUCAGGUCAUGACCUUGCAGUCUGUGAAUUCGGGACUCUGUGCUGACAGUUCAGGGUCUGGAGCCUGCUUCUCAUUCUGUGUCUCUUCUCUCUCUGCCCCACCCCCACUCAUGCUCUGUCUCUCUUUCUCUCUCUCUCAAAAACAAAAUAAGCAUUAAAAAAACAAAAAGAAAAGAAAGUACAAUUCAGUGGGUUUAAUAUAUUCUCAACCAUCACCAUUGCACAACCAUCACUACAUCAAAUUUAGAAUAUUUCCAUCACCCUAAAAAGAAAUCAUGACCAUUUGUAAUCCCUCCCCAUUUCCCUUUAACUCUCCCAGCCCUAGAUUACCACUGUUUUCUGGCUCUGUGGAUUUGGCUAUUCUGGACUUCUUAUAUAAAUGGAAUCAUAUAAUAUGUGGUCUUUCUUCAUUGAUUUCUCUCACAUAGCCAAUGUUUAUAAAGUUUAUCUAUGUCAUAGCAUGUGUCCCAAUUUCAUUAUUCUUUAUUGCUGGACUUUAAAAAUAAUAUUUAAGUUUAUUUAUUUAUUUUGAGAAAGAGAGAGAGAGAGAGAGAGAGAGAGAAGGGCAGAGAGAGAGAAGGAAAGAGAAUCCUAAGCAGGCUCUGUGCUGUCAGCCCAGAGCCUGAUGUAGGGCUCUAACUCACGAAUGGCAAGAUCAUAACCUGAGCCGAAAUCAAGAGUCGGAUGCUCAACUGACUGAGCCACCUAGGUGCCCCUAUUCUUUAUUGCUGAAUUUUAUUCUGUUGUAUGAAUAUACCACAUUGUACUUAUUCACUCAUUAGUUUAUGGAAAUUUGGGUUGUUUCAACUUUCUGGCUAUCAUGAGUAAUAUUGCUAUGAACAUUCAUCUCCAAGUUUUUCAUAUAUUUUCAUAUAUCUUGGGUGUGUACCUAAGAGUGGAAUUCUGGGUUAUAUGGUAACUAUGUUUAACCUAUCAAGGAAUUGCCAGACUGUUUUCAAAAGCAGCUGCAUCACUGUGUAUUCCCACCACCAUCAGGGGUCCAAUUCCCUCCAUAUCUUCACCAACGCUUGUUGGUAUGUGUCUUUCUUUUUAAGUUUUUAUUUAUUUUGAGAGAGAGAGAGAGAGAGCACAAGCAGGGGCGGGGCAGAGAGCAAGAGAGAGAGAGAGAGAGAGAGAGAAUCCCAAGCAGGCUCCUCACUGUCAGCACAGAGUCCUAUGCAGGGCUCAAUCUCACAAACAGUGAAAUCAUGACCUGAGUCAAAAUCAAGAGUUGGGUGCUUAACCGAUUGAGCCAUCCAGGCGCUAAGCUAUAUGUCUUUUUUAUUACAGCCAUCUAAUAAGUCUGAAAUGGCAUCUUUUUGUGGUUUAGGUUUUCAUUUCCCUGAUAGCUAAUGAUAUUGAGAAUCCUUUCAUGUAUUUAUUGGCCAUUUGUACAUCUUCUGUGAGUAAUGUCCAUGGAGAUUUAUUGCCUACUUUUAAUUUUUUUAAUGUUUAUUUAUUUUUGAGAGAGACAGAAACAGAGAAAGACAGAGAUAAAGCAUGAGCAUGGGAAGGGCAGAGAGAGAGAAGGCACAGAAUUGGAAGUAGGCUGCAGGCUCUGAGCUGUCAGCACAGAACCUGACGUGGGGCUCGAACUCACAAACCAUGAGAUCAUGACCUGAGCCGAAGUUGAACACUCAGUCGACUGAGCCACCCAGGCACCCCCAUUGCCUACUUUUAAAUUGAAUUAUUUAUUGAUUAUUGAUCUGUAAGGGUUCUUUAUAUUAUACAUAAAUCCCAUAAGAGAGAUACAAUUUGAAAAUAUUUUUUCCCAUUCUGCGAGUUGCUUUUUCACUUUCUUGAUGGUGUCUUUUGAAACACAAAUGUUUUAAACUUUGAUGGAGUCCACCAUAUUCAUUUAUCUUUCAUCACUUGUAUGUAUCUAAGACAACAUUACCUAACUUGAAGUCUACAAAGAUUUAUUCUCAUAUUUUCUUCUGAGACUUGUAUAAUUUUAGCUUUUACGUUUAAGCCUGUGAUCUAUUUUGAGUUAAUUUUUGUCUAUGCUGUGAGGUAAGGUUCUAGCUUCAUUGUUUUGCAUGUGAAUAUCAGUUGCCCCUGUGCCAUUUGUUGAAAAGCAUAUUCUUUUCCCCCACUGAAUUGCCUCUUCAUCCUUCUUGAAAAUGCAUUGACAAUGAAGGUUUACUUCUGGAUUAUCAGUUUAUUACAUUGAUCUGUUUGUCUAUCUGUAUGGCAAUACCACACUUCAUUACUGUAGCUUUGUAGUGAGUUUGAAAUCAAGAAGUGUGAGUCUUGAAAUUUCCUUCUUCUUUUUCAAGAUGGUAUUGCCUAUUCUGGGUCCCUUCAUUUUUAUACGAAUUAUAGGAUUAGCUUAUCAAUUUUUGCAAAAAUUUCAUUGGAAUUUUAACAGGGGUUGGGUUGAAUCUUCAGAUCAAUUUAGGGGGCAUUGCCAUGUUACCAAAGAAGAUCCAAUACAUGAAAGUGGUGUGUCUUUCCAUUAAUCUAAGUCUUCUUUAAUUUCUUUCAACAGUCUUUUGUAGCUUUCAGUGUAUGAGUUAUAUACUUCUGCUAAACUUAUUAAGUAUUUUAUCCUCUGACACUAGUGCAAAUGCAGUUGUUUUCUUCAUUUUCACAUUGUGCAUUGUUAGGGUACAGAAAUACAAUUGAUUUUUAUAUAUUUGUCUUGCGUCCUGAAGCCUUACUGAACUCAUUUAUUAAUGGGUUUGAAUAUUUUUGGUUGUUUGUUUACUGCUUAGGAUUCUUAAAUAUAAGAAAAAGUCACCGGUAAAUAGAGAUAGUUUUAUUUCUUCCUUUGCAGUCUGGCUGCAUUUUCUUGCCUAAUUGCCUCGGCUAGACCCUCCAGUAUAAUGUAGAUAGAAUUGACAAAAGUGGACGUUGAUUUUCUUAUUCCUGAACUUUGGGGGAAAGCAGUCAGUCUUUCGCUGUUAAGUAUGAUGUUAGCUGUGGGUUUUUUUGCAGAUGCUUUUUAUCAGGUUAAGGAUAAAAGGGGUGUUGGAUUUUUUAAAAUGCUUUGAUUGGACUGACUGAGAAACAGCUUGUCCAGAAGCUUUCAUACCUUCAAAUCAUCUCUCUUUCCUGUUUCUCCAUCCCUUUCUCAUAAGCACACAGGAUCACAAUGAAAGCACAUUAGAUACAACCUAUUAAAAACUGUGAGUAAUGUCCGUGGAGAUUCUCCACAGGAUGGAUGGGAUGAAAGAACAUUCAAGACCUCUUGAUUCCAGUUAUCCUUGUACAUGGUUGCUCUUUACUAGAGGUGGCCAAUCGAAAUCAACUAUCAAUGGUUUUACAAGAAUGGAAGGGAACUACGAUGUGUAUACUCCCUAAUUUUCUCUUCCCCGUACUCACUGUAGAUGGAAAAUAUUAAUACCCAAGGAGAGGCUUGUGCGGGAAGUAAAGGAUAUCAAGGGCGUGUGUGUCUGAAAUGAACCAGAAAUAUAAACAAACUUUAUUUACACAACCCUUUCUGUGUGAGCUUCCGCAUUUUGAAAAUACUGUUUCUGGUUCAUCUUCUCAGGCCUCUCUUGUCUCUUUUUCUACUUCAGGAGUCUGGCUGGUGACCAUCUUGCCCGCCUCCCUCACGUGUGUGAGCUAUCUGUUCCACAUACUGGCCUGUUACAGGUAAGAGGGCUCUGGGAGUCAUUUGUGUGUCUUCAGCCAGUACUUUUCUAAAAAUUCCGGAGCAGUGACAGCAGUACCCAAAUUGGAACCAGGAAGGUGUACAUGGUCCAGGAACAGCCUCAUUGAUCGGUAAUAAAACAAAACCCAAAAUGAAAACACUAUUGAUUUGAGCUUCUACCCUAAGCUCGAUAUUGUGCUUGAAUCUUUUGAUUUUCACUACAACCGUGAGAGGUAGUUUCAGCUCUGUUUUUACAGCUGAGAAGGCUGAGACUCAACAAAAUAACUCACCCAAGCCGUUAGCAGCUGGCCAUGUCCUGAGAGGUCUUGUCACUUCUGCUACACUCAGCAUCCCUAUUGGGUGUCAGGCCUGCCCCGCUCUCCAGGACUAAACACACUGGGUUCCCAGCAGGUGCAUCUGGCUCAAGGAUACAUCAAAGGAGAUCGGGUCAAGGGCACCAGGUGCAUCAGUCUCUAGAAGAGCAGAGCAGGAGGAGGGGAUGGCCUUCAGUAUGUAGUGAGCACUCCACUGCAGACAGCAGUAUCUGCCAUCCCUCCUCUCUGUCUCUCAGUUCCUUCUUCCCUCCACCUCAGGCUGUAACUCAUAUGCAGUCACAGGAGGCCCAGGGCCAACUCCUACCCUUCCAAAGCAUCCUGCCUUUACAUCCUCCCCAUCUGGCUGCACAAAGGGUGGGUCUCUGGCAGAUCGCAUCCUGGCACAAAGAGGCCCCAGCUCUCCAUCACAGCCCUAGCUUGCUCCCUCUCUCUGCUUUCUUCUCCCCAGACCCCAUGGGUGGGCUGGACACUGCUGCUCUCCCCUUCCCUGCCUGAUGCAAGGAUAUGUCUGCUCCUCCCUUCAUUGACCUGCAAGUGCCUAGGAGAUGAUUAGUGAGACAUUGGACCACAGCCAGUCACAGACACCUUUUAGAGCUGGCUGCACUGACAUGGUAGAGGGCCCAGGGAAGAGAUGGCUUCUGUGGUGGGGAGGCUUCUCUGGUGUCCAGGCUGGCCCCUCCUUCCCACACCUGUCACAGAGGAAUGAUGAUCCCUGCCCUGUCUGCUUUACAGGACCAUGGGGCAAAGGAAAUAGUGGAUAAGAAAGUCCUUCAAGUGGACAGCACUAGCACUGUGCCAGUAUUUUUAUUUUUCUUAGAAUUAUUACAACCUAUAUACAGCCUCUUUUAAAAAAUGUUAUAAAAAAUAUUUAGUGUAAAGCAAGUCUGAAGUCAUUCAGACUCAAGUUUGUUGCCCCAGAGCUAAACGUUAUUCAUUUUCUGUUUCCCCCCAGAAAUUGCCUAUGCACCAUGCAAAUAUAUCUGUGUGUUUGUAUUCCUGAUGGCAUACUCUACUCCAGUGUUGCCGAGCCGAAACAUAAUAAAAACCACAGAUGCAAUUUUGAAUUUUCUAAUAGACAUGAGUAAAAAGUAAAAAAGGAGAUGAAAAUAAUUUAAUAACAUAUUUUAUUUAACCCAACAUAACCCCCAACCAUCAUUUCAUUGUGUAAUAAAUAUACAAACUAUUAAUGAGAUAUUUACAUUCUUUAUUUCAUACUAAGUCUUGCCAAUUUAGUGAUUAUAAUGUUGCAAAACCUCCUGGAAAAUGCUGGAUAUAGAAUGUUAGAGGAAAAGUGGGACACAGAUGUAAAUGGGGGUUGUGAACAUAACCACUGCCAACCUAAUCUUCGUGCCGAGGGCCAGGCCGAGACCAGCACGUGGGGAAAGCAUGCAGAGGUUUGCUGGGGGGCUGGGCUUCUCCGUUUCCUUGAUGUUGCUAUAAGGUGGGUCUAUCAUUAAAAACAGUUUUCCAUUUUUACCUAUUUUGAAAUAUUAUUACAUGAGUAGUACAUACACGUCACAGAAAAAGUAAUAGAGCAAAUUGAAGAAAAUAAAAGCCACACAGAGACUCCACUAUCACAUUCAGUCACCAUUGAGAUUUGGGAACUAUAUAAUAUUAAGAUUUUUAAAUCGUCAGGGAAAUCAUGUCAAGACCAUGGUGAGGUAUCGCUUCACACCUGUUGGAAUGGAUAGUACCUAAAAGACAAGAAAUAACAAGUGUUGGCAAGGAUGUGGAAAAAAAGGAACUCUCGUGCACUAUUGGUAGGAAUGGAAGUUGGUGCAGCCACUGUGGAAAACAUUAUGAUAGAACUUCAUAGUUCUAUCAUAAAUAGAACUACAUAUGAUCUAGCAACUCCAUUUCUGGGUAUUUAUCUGAAGAAAACAAAAACAGUAUUUAGAAAAGAUAUUUGCACCCACGUUUAUUGCAACAUUAUUUUCAAUAUUCAAGAUAUAGAAACAACCUAAGUGUCCUUUGAUGGAUGAAUGGACAAAGAAGACACGUCACACACACACACACACACACACACACACACACACACUGGUAUACUAUUCGGCCAGAAAAAUGAGUGCAAUCUUGCCAUUUGCAGUAACAUGGUUGGAACUUGAAGGCAUUAUGCUCAGAGAAAGACAAAUGCUGUAUGAUCUCACUUAUAUGUGGAAUCUGAAACAAAACAAAACAAAAACCCAAGCUAUAGAUACAAAGAACAGAUUUGAGGUUUUCAGAGGUGGGGAUAGGGGGUGGGUGUGGGUGAAGGGAAUCAAAAGGUACAAGCUUCCGGUUAUAAAAUAAAUGUCAUGGGGAGGUACUCUACAGCAUGAUGACUAUAGUUAACAGCACCAUAUUGCAUAUUUGAUAGUCGCUAAGAGUAGAUCUUAAAAGUUCUAAUCACAAGAAAAAAACUUGUAACUAUGUGAGGUGAUGGAUGUUAACUAGACUCCUGUGGUGACCAUUUUUCAACAUGCACAAAUAUGGGAUCAUUAUGUUGUACACCUGAAACUAAUGGAGUGUUAUAUGUCAAUUAUAUCUCAGUUUAAAAUGUAUUUUAUUUUAUUUUAUUUUUGUAUACUUUAAGAGAGAAAGCGCACACACGCACACAAACGGGAAGAACAGAGGGAGGGAAAGAAUCUUGAACGGGCUCCACGUUCAGUGCAGAACCUGACAUAGGGCUCGAUCCCAGAACCGUGGGAUCAUGACCUGAGCCAAACUCAAGAGUCGGACUCUCAACCAACUGAGCCACCCAGGUGCCCAAAACGUAUUUUAAAAAUAUUUUUAAGGCUAGUGAGAACUGUCCCACGAGCCGCGGUCAAUACAAGGAAGCUGAGCUGGCUUCUAUCUCCCUCUGCAGGCUUUUCUGUUGGCAUCUGUUGAGCUCUAAGGACAUAAGGAGCUGUGGUUAUGAGCAUCACUGAUUCCCCACUUUUUCUCUAGAAAGCACAUUAAGAGGCUGUGGGCAGGAAAUAAACACUUUCUCCCUUUGAAGUUCCAUCAUCCUUCCUCCUCGAAGAGUGUGGUAAGUCUAUGGAGGCCUGUCUCUGCUCUGAGACUAAGUGGCCAAGUCCUGCUCUCCUGCCUCUUAGGCAGGGGCAGCAUCUGGGGGGAGGGACAGCCCUGCACUGGGCAUCCAGAGUCCUCAAUUCUAGUAUACUCUGCUGCUGGGUGACCCAGGAUAGUCACUAUCCCCAUCUGGCCCUUGGUUUCUUCAUCUGUAAAACAAUGACAGUCAUGGCAUCUGCCCUGGUAUGUUGGUGGGUGAACCUCAAAUGAGGCAGAGAUUCUGGACCCAUAUAUUGGAGGUAAUCAGUGUUUUCACCCCUAUGAGACCCCUUUUCCUUUUUAAAUCUCAGGUGGCCAUUGCAAGGUACUCUGGCUGGCAAAUAGCCUAUAUUCUGUGGGGUAAGUGUCAUCAUGUGACCCAUUCCCUGGGCACCUAUGGGGUCCUGGCUGUGGGGAGAGAGAAGAGAGGUGAGGAAGAAGGAGGUGGGGGGUAGGUAUGGGUAAAGGGAAUCACCCACCUUCCUUCAGGAAGGAGGGAGAAUCCCACACUCACAAAGCUAUCAUUACUACCUGCCCGAAGCCCAUGGGGCAGAAAUGAUAAAGGUGGUGGUGACUUAGAGGAGCAAGUGACUCUCCCAGGCAGGACACAAAUGCUUUCUAGUGGAGUUGACAUUUGAACUGCAGGGCGAGCCGCAGGUGAGCGGGAGGAAAAGGGAGGUCGUGCCAGGCAGAAGAAGCUGCAUAAGCAAAAAUGCCAGGACCUUUGGUGGGAGGAAGAUAGAGGGGCUCUGCAGGAAGUCAUGACUGGGUCGCGAAGGGCCUUGAGUGACCGUGGGUUCCCUUGGUCCACAGGCUACCUCAUCAUCCACGUGGUACAGAGCCUGUGUGGCCUGAUGAUCAUGUACAGCCUGGUGUUGCCUGUCGUCCACAACCAGGGCCUGGAGAUGCUCCAAGGACUGGGCAUCGGGACGUAAGUGCAGGGUGGGCUCUCUGUCAUUGCCCAGGGCCUAGGCACUGGUGUAGCCUCGAAGCUGCUGUUGGGCUCUCACCCAUUCCUGGACCGACACUCUCAGCUCAGACCCAAGGAUGGGCCACAAUAGCAACUCAUCACAAUGGGAGCCUUACAGUUCAUAAGACAUUUCCAUUCUCACUGUUCAGUGGGGUGCUCACAGUUGUGUCUGGGGGGGGACACACACAUAUCCAUUGUAUAGCUGGGAAGGUUAAAGUUCAGGGAGGUGACAAGGGAGUUCGGACACUACAGAGGGAAUCUGAGUUCAGGUUUGAGAUCAGCUGUGUGACCUUGGGUAAAUUACUUCUCUGAGCCUCAGUUUAUCCCAUAUGGAAGAUAAGAGUGAAGGCUGACGUCGUAACUGAUAAUUCACUGUGCAUCUUUUCUCUUAAGAACCCUUUAAAGGCUGGGCCUCAUAUUAACACCCAUUUGUCAGACAAGGAAACAGAGGCACAGAAGGCUAAGUGAUUUGUCCAAGGAGGGGAAGAGGCAGGGUUGGGAGCUAGCGAUCUGAAGCCGAGGCCCCAUUUAACUGCCACCCACACUGCUGCUCAGGCGAUGCAAACACAGGAUGUGGCACUCUCCGGGGACCUCCCUGCUCUGAGCUCCUUGGUUCCACACUCCCCCAAAGCUAUGUGGGAGGCUGGGCAGAGCCUGCCCGUCCACUUUCAGGACUUUCAUGAGCGCUUUAAAAACUUCAUGCUUUUCUUUGAUUCCCAUGCUGUUAAACACUCAUCCCAGCUGCCACUCGUGGACAAAGGGAUAUAAUUAAAUCCUGGAGUUCUAGUAUGGAGCCAAACGACCUGACUGUGUGACUUUGAGAAAGUCACCUCCCCUUUGUGAGCCUCCGUUUUCUCAACGGACAGCGGGUGUGCAUCAAGCACAGAGCAGGUGCCGCAACAGUCUCGCCCUGUGUUUCAGCCUCACCAUAUCCAUCGUCCUGGGUCUCAUGAUCCUGCAGGUAUGGAUCGCCACCAGCUUCUUCCUGCAGCCAAAGAUGAGCACGGCUGACAAGCAGAAGCCCUUGGCUCUCAACAACAGGUGAGGGCAAAGAAGGAAAUGGGGCUUGGGGGCCUUGGCUUCAGCAGUCUCUCCUUCCUUCCUCUUCACCCAUGGCAGGUUCCUGGGGGGACAGUGCCCUCUCUGAGAGGGUGAGGGGCCGUGGCUCAGGAGUGGGCUCUGGAACCAAACCGCCUGGGUCCAAAUCCUGGCUCCACCCCUUAUGAACUGUGUGACCUUAUGUGACCUUACUGAACACCUACGAACCUAAGUUUCGUCAUUUUACAAAUAAUUGCACACUCCUCACAGAGGUAUUCUGAGAAUGAGAUGUGUUAAAACAUGAACUUAGAACAACAGUACCUGGCUCAUGGUGAUCCUUUGGAACUCAUUCAUUUGAAGCCAUUCACUCGGGGAGGAAACAACAGGGGCACUGGAGAUUAAAGAGAUAUUCCUACGUGACCUGCCUGCAGAAGCUCACGGUCCACAGGAGCCAACAGACACAGUCACGUGGCCCCAGUACACUCCAGACGGUGUGAAAGGCUCAUAAGAGCAGCACAGGGAAUGGAGAAAGAGAGACGGGGUGGUUCAUUCAGCUGCAGGUGGGGAGUUUGAGCUGAGGUCGUAGGGUGGUGGGAUUCCUAUAGGGAGAGCUGAGGAGAGGGCAUGGCCAGCAGCCCUCACUGCACAGAUGAAGGUAGGAAGCCAUAAAAGGGCAAGAUGUGUUGAGAGAACCGUGAGAAUCCAAUAUGGUGACCAUGCAGUGGUCACCAUAGGUGGUGAGGGGCAGGGAGGAGGCACAAAGUGAUGAUCCCAGAAAGGCCCUUCUCAGAGAUGGCCCAGAAAUCCAGCUUUCUAUGGGCUUUAUCCCAUAGGCAACAGGAAACUGCAUGGUCAAGUGGUCACUUGAAAAGUUUCCUCUGGAGGACUUGGAACAGUUCCAGCUGGGGGCAGGUCACUGUUACAACAGACAGUGGGAAAGCCACAACCUCUGCUGUAACCACAAAGCCAGCUGUGGCCACAUGAGAUUCCUUCCCAUACAGGAAACCUCAAAACCCAAGGAUCCCAUGAAACAUCACAGUCUCCGCUUGUCCUGCACUGGGCUCAGCGCCUUCUAUGUGGUGUCUGAGCCAGUCCCCACAGCAGUGCUGUGUGGUAGGGACAGUCAGCUCCCAGUUACAGCACAAGGUCACAGGGCUGGGAAAUGGGAGCAGCAGGAUUUGAUCACAGGCAUGGGGCGCUGAACCAGCCUGCUAGCCACUUCCUCAUACUGAAACGGUGCUGCCCGUCUGCCUGCUUCCGUUUGCAGGAAAGCCUUCCACAACUUCAACUACUUUCUGUUCUUCUACAACGUGCUCCUGGGCCUGGGCGCCUGCCUCUCCAGGCUGCUCAUCAGCUGCAUCCUGGGCACGUGGCUGAUUGCCCGCAUCGACAGGACCAUCAUGCAGAAUGGCUAUGAGGGUGCAGACAUGGGUAAGUGGCCGGUCCCUGAGGCCACGCAUUGAGUCAGGUGGAGGGGACUAGUCUUGUACCUUUGUGGUGCCUGCAGGCUGGGUACCAGAGGCCUGGACUUCACACUCUUUGCCUCAGAGCUCAGCUUCUCAUGGAGGCUAUAAAGCUGAGUAGCAAAAAACAUUCAGGGGGUUCCAGGGUGGCUCAGUCGGUUAAGCGUCCAACUCUUGAUUUCGGCUCAGGUCAUGAUCUCAUGGUUCAUAAGAUCGAGCCCUGCAUCGGGCUCCAUGCUGACAGUGCGGGGCCUGCUUGGGAUUCUCUCUCUACCCCUCUCCCUAGCUUGCUCUCUCUCUCUCUCUCUCUCUCAAAAUAAAUAAAUAAACUUAAAAAAAAAAAAAGAAAAAGAAAAACACAUUCAGCCUAAUGGUCAGAAGAGAAUUUAGGCAAGUAAAUUGCUGCAUAUUUGACAGACCUUCAAGAUAUCAUGGAGAGCAGUAAGAAGUACUAGAAAUUCCAUCUGAACAGUCAGAAUGUAAAUAUGAAUGCACAGCUCUGAAAAUUUUGAGAAAGAACACAUCUCGGAAUGACUGAUGUGUCAUUAGUUGGAAACCUAACUUAGUUAAGAAAACGGUCUGUUCAGUUGAAAUAGUCUAAAAUCAAGCCAUUGCUGUAGAGCGAAAGUAGCUUUUGUCUUAUUUCUGACCUGUGUCCAGUCAUUCACUCGUCCAUUCAUUGUAGGACUGACAGCCUCUCCGUAUCAGCCACAGCUCUCCUUCUGCUUUGAGCUUCACAUUCUCCAUAACAUGGUUGGAUUAGAAUGCUAUCUUAAGAACCCUUCCUGCUCUUCCGACCUAAUUUUCUAGGUUCUCAGUGAGAACGUGGGCACCAUAUAGGAACAAAGUGGCAUUGCAGCCACAUCAUCAAGAGCACGAGCUCGGGCAUCCUGGGACACAGGGCAUACUGCAUGGCCUGACUUGCCUUCUGGGUUUCAGGGUUCAGCGCCUGGAUUGGCAUGCUCUAUGUGGAUCAUUAUCAUACCAACCCUGUGCUCGUCAGCUUUUGUAACAUCCUGAUCACAGGGCACAGGGAGCGGAGGCUGCAGCAGGCCAUCAAAUACUGGUGCCUAAAUCAGUCAGCAGGUAAGGCUCUGUCUGAACCUAUGUUGGGGUUGGACAAUAGGGAACAAGUACCCUAAGGCUUCUCUGGGAUCUCUGAGAUGUUCCAGCUUCCCCUUUCCCUGCCCCCCUUCCUCCAUACUUCCUGCCCUGGGAGACCUUUGACCUGAGAGAACAGGAGGCUUAGUCUUCAGCCAGCCUGGCCAUGGGACCCCUGAGGUCUGGUGUCCUUGUCCUUCUAAGUGGGCUCCUCCCUUGUUCCCAGAAGUGAGCUCUAGUUCACUGUCUGAGUUCACUCUUCCAUUUGUUUGAGACCCCGCCCAUAUCCCAGGGUUCAGAACAGAUGCUCUCCAAGAUGGGGCUCAGUUUUGCUUACCACAAGUGCUUCUGGCCCCCAACACCUGCCUCCUCAAGGCUCUAUAACCGUCUACUCCACCCCUCCACCCCUACUACUCUGCUCUGCCUUCUGCUGGGAAGCCCACCAAUUAGUCAUGUUUUGUGGGCACCAGUCUGGAUUAAGUUCAUCACUGUUCCCAACUAUAUCCAGCUAUAUCCAACAGAUAUCCGGCUCUGGGACAAACUCAUGUCCCUUCUGCCACCCUCAUGUCCCCAGGGGUCCUGGUCCAGCUCCUUCUCCCACACCUCACACCUACCAGUCAGCUUCUCCAAUAGCCUCUGAGAAGGACAGAGACAAGCCCUGUCCUCCAGGUCUGUCUGCUCUGAUUCUCUCCCAGGUCCCCGAGUCUCAGCCAGGUCCAGGACGCGGUGGCUUCUGCUGCAGACCCUGGUCAACAAUCCCAAACUAGUCAUGCUCAGAAAAUCAAGACCAGGUCAUAGCUCCCGGGAGUUUGCCCAGAUUCUUUUGAUGGGCUCAGAGAGCUGACAGUGACCUCCGACCUUGCUAUAAGGCCAUUCCAGGAUGACUGCUCCAGAGAGGACCCGGGCUACCCAGCCGCUGUCCCCUGCAUUGUGACAGGAUGCACAGUCACUGUCCACUGCAUACAGCACCAGACACUCGUGGAUGGCACCUGGGCUGAACCAUGAAGUCUCAGCCCUAAUAAUUCACUCCCCUGGUAAAAAGCUCAAGAACUAAAGAGAAUUUCUGUUGAACAAUCUUUUCUCAAUGAUUUCCACUAUCGAUGGUUAGGAGGCAGCCUUGGGGAGUUCCAUAUGGACAAACAGUUUGACCACAGGGCAGAACUUUGUGUCAAUGAAGAAUGUGGUAAAAUGGCUAUCUAUACCAGGAGAGUUUAACUAUUGGACACAGUUGUUCUCUGGGAGACAAUGUGGCCUUAAUCCAAUAGGAUCCUCAUUGCUCCCCCACUUUCCAGGCCUCCUGGUGGUGGGAGAGACCCCAGCCUCUAAUCUGGUAGUGUGAGCAGGCACACAUUGGGCUCUUCCUGCCAUGGCCACUGGGAUGGAGAACAGAUCAGAACUGACCUGGGUCUUGGGCACAAAGAAGAUAUACACAUCUGACGAGGAGGGGAUCCCCCAGGAAAGCUGCCUAUCUGCGGAGGCAGAGAUGGGGGUGUGCAGGCAUUCUCCUUGGAGGACAACAGAGCAAAGGAGUGGGAGCAGGAGAGCCCCAGGCAUGUUGGAGGAGGGGAGGCCUCUGGUGUUUGCAGUGCAGGGAAUCAGGGGUGGGUUAGACCACCUAGGGAGGCUCAGACUCCAGGCUGGGAGGCCUGGACAUUUCUCUGUGUGCAGAGGGCCCAGUCCUCACCCUGAGUCUUCAUACCCUCGUGUAAGGUCUCUGAUGGUUCAGGGCUUGUACAAAGUGACCAAAGUCAUGCAGCUUGUGCAAGUGCCAGGAGGACAUACCAACAGGGUAAGGGAAGUCCCCCAUCCACCUCAUGAGUCCCAGAGCCAUUGAAGUUCAGUAAUCACAUUAAGCAUCUACUGUAAACCUAGUCCUAUUGCUAGACGUGUCUGCCAGACUCAUCUCUUUUAAUUUAACCUUUGCGACUAGACUUUGUCACUCUGCUUUCAGAAACUGAGAAAACUGUGACUGGCGUGUCGGGAUCCCCACAUGACCACUUCCAGCUGUGUAACACCAGCUAAACUCCUUUGCCUUUCUGUGCUGCUUUUUCCUUAUGAAUAAAAAGGGCAAUACCUGGGCACCUGGGUGGGUCAGUUGGUUGUGCGUCCAACCUGAGCGUCGGCUCAGGUUAUGGUCCCAGGGUCGUGGGAUGGAGCCCUGCAUCAGACUCUGCACUGAGCAUGGAGCCUGCUUAGGAUUCUCUCUCCCUCUCCCUUUGCCCCUCUCCCCUGCUCUCUCUCUCUCUCUCUCUCAAAAAAAAAAAAACAAAAAAACAAAACAAAAAACAAUACCUGCAACACCCAAAAUUAUUUUGAGGAUAAAAUGAGUUAAUACAUGCAAACACUCCUAAGUUAGUGCCUGAUACAUCCUAAACUGAAUAAAUAUCAGUUAUUGUCAUUUUCAUUGUUUCACUUCGUGAUGAUGUGAUUAAUGUCUGUUCACCUCACUAUGCUCUCAGCUGCAUGAAGAAAGGAGCCU
This 22813-nucleotide long non-coding RNA is filed under the name Lynx pardinus (Iberian lynx). The record is from RNAcentral. Lineage: Eukaryota; Metazoa; Chordata; Mammalia; Carnivora; Felidae.